This 270-nucleotide long non-coding RNA is filed under the name Coffea arabica (coffee). RNAcentral describes it as "long non-coding RNA (CARA_LNC002387)". Lineage: Eukaryota; Viridiplantae; Streptophyta; Magnoliopsida; Gentianales; Rubiaceae. The record is from RNAcentral.
AAGCACAAAGCUGCUGAGGCCAUUGACUCCAAUAUGCAGGCUGCAAAGGAAAAAUCUCGCCAUCUGAAGGAUGAAGUUGCUGCUACUCGUGACGAGGAGCUCUGAUCUGAUGAGAGAGAUCAAUCACAACACGAGAACCAUGCCAUUGCCACUUGUGGAAUGCCACCACCGAGUCGUUCUAUUCCACUACGUAAUUAUGUAUAAUAAAUACUCGGUCGUCUGUCAGUGUCAGCAGCCACUACUCCUCGUAACGAAAUACCAGACUGAUGG